Long non-coding RNA from Triticum dicoccoides, 265 nucleotides. RefSeq lists it as uncharacterized. The record is from RefSeq and is a predicted model, not a curated record. The transcript is spliced from 3 exons. NCBI's taxonomy places the organism in Eukaryota, Viridiplantae, Streptophyta, Magnoliopsida, Poales, Poaceae.
GGCUGCAGCACUUUCCAUGCUUUCAAGCCGAAGGACUUCACUCCGAGGGCAUACUCUACAAGCAAUACAAAUUCAGAGAGACACGAGGAAAUCAAGUCAAAAUCAACCGAUUGUCUUAGACCCUUUUGCACAUGGACAUUUGAGAGCACUCUACUCUUUAGUCUGUUGGAACAAAGUUAUGAUGUUUCCGUUUCACACAAGAAAUCAAUUGCAAGAAGAUCAUGACAGCAGCUUGUCAUGUAAGGCGUUUCAAGCCAAAGGACGG